AACUGGACAAGUUCGAUCGCCCAGAUGGCCAAGGUGGUACCCACAGGGGCAUGGCUGGUAAUUAAGAGAACCAUAAUUCUCCACCGCUAUCUGUCCUACGACGAAGGCCCAGAUCUCUUGAAUUCGACCCGUGGAAAGACAGAAAACCCUAAAUAUGCUCUCUCUCUCGCUUUAUAUAAACCUUGAGCCAAACCAACCUCUUGAAAUCUCAGCGGUGUAGGCGUAGCGAACCACCGGAGGAAGGGGAAAAUGGCGGUGCCGUUGCUUACGAAGAAGGUUGUUAAGAAGAGAGUUAAGAAGUUCAAGAGGCCACAAAGUGACCGCAAGAUCUCUGUCAAGUAUGGCGAGCUAGCGAUCGACUAUCCGGUCCCUUUUAGGCUAAACAACUACCCUUUUUUUUUAAUCUUCAAUCAGUAUAAUUUUAUAGUCUGAUUUCCUUGUUUCGUUUACAGGAUAGGAGUUGUAGUCUUUUUCUUUUGUUCCUGGGUUUGAAGGAUAUGAUGAAGCUUUUUUGACACCCAGUCUUAGUCCUAAUGGAAGCUGCUGAUUAAUUUAUUUUGAUCUGAUCCUUCAUGGCAAAUAGUGACUUCUUACUGUUUUUUUUUUGUUAAUGUUUUAGUUCUACAUGUAGUUUUUUAAGUUAAGGAGAUAUGCAAUGAGGUGUGAUGAUAUUUAUCCACCAUUUCUGCUAUAGGAUGAUGAAUUUUAUACAUGCACUACCAUCUGAUCUCAUUUGCAUAUCCAUGUGGCUGUUCAUUAUAUAGUAUUCUAUUUUCUAUAUUUAUACUGCAAUCUAUGAUGCAAAUCAUUUGUUAGUGCUGAUUGUCCUGUGAUGAUCAUAAAAAAAUCACCAUCUUUCGGCUGAGGUUGCAGUUUUUGGUUAGUCUUUUCUAUGUGGGGUUUCUUAUGCUUGGUUUAUCAUCUCUAAAUUUCUUAGGAUGUAGAGAUCUAUUAUAUGUUGCCAUUUGCCCAUGGUAUCUGAUGUCCAGAAUUUGUUUUUGUGGCUGGUCAUUUCCUUCUGAUACCUAUGUUUCAUUCUUCAUAAUUUUUGAAAGACAAGCUGGCGCAGACCAAAGGGUAUUGAUUCUCGUGUUCGAAGAAAGUUCAAGGGAUGUACUUUGAUGCCCAAUAUCGGUUAUGGUUCUGACAAGAAGACUCGUCAUUAUCUUCCAAACUGCUUCAAGAAAUUUGUUGUCCACAAUGUCAAAGAGCUAGAGGUGUUGAUGAUGCACAACAGGCACAGAUGAGCUCUUGUUGUCAGAGUUCUUUAUACCAAGCAGAUCACUCUCUUUCCCAAUUGACGAUUCUUUUUAACGUGAUCCAGGACAUACUGCGCUGAGAUAGCACACAAUGUGUCGACAAGGAAGAGAAAAGAGAUUGUGGAGCGAGCUGCGCAGCUUGAUGUUGUUGUAACUAACAAACUCGCUAGGUUGCGUAGCCAGGAGGACGAAUGAAGAGGAGAGCCUGUGUUGAGGAGGGAGGAAUUAUUUUCCAGAUCGAGUAUGCGAAUUUUGCAGUUGUACAGUCUCUGUAACCUGGUAAAUUAGGAUAUCCGCUGAUAGCAAGACUAAUUUUGUUGCCCAUCUAUGCUGUGGCUGGCGCUUUCCUCCCCUUGUAUUAUUUUGUAGGGUUGCCGAGAUGAAAGUCAGAUGGUGUUUUCCCUCCGUAAAUAGUGUUGAGUAUCAUUGAAAAUGGAGCUUUGGUUCUCAAAAAGAAACAUUGGUUUACGAACAAGUUAUAUUAAAAAUUAACUGGCUAGAUUUAAUUUA
Molecule: RNA transcript, 1769 nt
Organism: Populus nigra (black poplar)
Lineage: Eukaryota; Viridiplantae; Streptophyta; Magnoliopsida; Malpighiales; Salicaceae
Gene name: large ribosomal subunit protein eL32z-like
Exons: 3
Source: RefSeq, a predicted model, not a curated record